GGAUGAACCUAGAGUCUGUCACGCAGAGUGAAGUAAGUCAGAAAGAGAAAAACAAAUACUGUAUGCUAACACAUAUAUAUGGAAUCUAAGAAAAAAAAAAAGCAUGGACUUGAGGAUAUGGGGAGGGGGAAGGGUAAGCUGUGACAAAGUGAGAGAGUGGCAUGGACAUAUAUACACUACCAAA
Orcinus orca (killer whale) is the source of this 184-nucleotide long non-coding RNA. RefSeq lists it as uncharacterized. The transcript has 2 exons. NCBI's taxonomy places the organism in Eukaryota, Metazoa, Chordata, Mammalia, Artiodactyla, Delphinidae. The record is from RefSeq and is a predicted model, not a curated record.